RNAcentral lists this ribosomal RNA (253 nucleotides) under uncultured bacterium. RNAcentral's name for it is "partial 16S ribosomal RNA". It matches the Rfam family "Bacterial small subunit ribosomal RNA", at positions 524 to 776 of the family's 1533-position model. The record is from RNAcentral.
CACGGGGGGAGCAAGCGUUGUUCGGAAUCACUGGGCGUAAAGGGCGUGUAGGCGGUCGAGUAAGUGGAAUGUGAAAUACUCCGGCUCACCCGGAGCACUGCAUCCCAAACUGCUCGGCUUGAGUAUGGGAGAGGACGAGGGAAUUCCUGGUGUAGCAGUGAAAUGCGUAGAGAUGCGGAGGAACACCGAUGGCGAAGGCAGCCCCCUGGGCUAACACUGACGCUCAGGCACGAAAGCGUGGGGAGCAAACAGG